RNAcentral lists this unclassified non-coding RNA (697 nucleotides) under Leishmania donovani. RNAcentral describes it as "gene:LdHU3.06.0020(CDS-product:histone_H4)". Lineage: Eukaryota; Euglenozoa; Kinetoplastea; Trypanosomatida; Trypanosomatidae. The record is from RNAcentral.
CAGCUCUUCGACUCCUUCUGCGUUCUCCGCUCAUCUUCUAACUACUCCGUUUUCCCCCAACCCCCCUGAACACUAUCCAAACAUGGCCAAGGGUAAGCGCUCCGCUGAUGCCAAGAGCAGUCAGAAGCGCCAGAAGAAGGUGCUGCGCGACAACAUCCGCGGCAUCACUCGCGGCUGCGUCCGCCGCAUGGCGCGCCGCGGUGGCGUGAAGCGCAUCUCGAGCGAUGUAUACGAAGAGGUGCGCCGCGUGCUGAAGGCCUACUUGGAAGACAUUGUGCGCUGCAGCACGGCCUACACCGAGUACGCGCGCAAGAAGACCGUGACGGCGUGCGAUGUUGUGAACGCGCUGCGCAAGAAAGGCCACAUCCUGUACGGCUAUGCGUAAGGCAAUCGCCACACCAUAGCAUUUACUGGGCAUGCCGGCAGCACACCAACACUCCCCGCAGCCCACACCCACCGAUAGACUUCUUUUUUGCUUCCGUAUUUUUCUCCCCUAUUCCCCCUCCCCUUCCGGCCUACCCUGCCCUACCCCUUCUUUCCCCCUCUCCGCCACUCCGCCACCCCGUUUCACCACAACAAAACACGUGAUUGCCGAUGGACGUGCGUGUCUCCGUGUGCGUUUGGGUGUGAAGCUGUUGGAGGAGGAGACUAACGUCAAAAAAAACGAGAACAAAAAAAAACAUCUGAAACAGUGACC